AGUGAACGCUGGCGGUAGGCCUAACACAUGCAAGUCGAACGGCAGCACAGUAAGAGCUUGCUCUUACGGGUGGCGAGUGGCGGACGGGUGAGGAAUACAUCGGAAUCUACUUUUUCGUGGGGGAUAACGUAGGGAAACUUACGCUAAUACCGCAUACGACCUACGGGUGAAAGCAGGGGAUCUUCGGACCUUGCGCGAUUGAAUGAGCCGAUGUCGGAUUAGCUAGUUGGCGGGGUAAAGGCCCACCAAGGCGACGAUCCGUAGCUGGUCUGAGAGGAUGAUCAGCCACACUGGAACUGAGACACGGUCCAGACUCCUACGGGAGGCAGCAGUGGGGAAUAUUGGACAAUGGGCGCAAGCCUGAUCCAGCCAUACCGCGUGGGUGAAGAAGGCCCUCGGGUUGUAAAGCCCUUUGUUGGGAAAGAAAAGCAGCAGGUUAAUACCCCGCUGUUCUGACGGUACCCAAAGAAUAAGCACCGGCUAACUUCGUG
RNAcentral lists this ribosomal RNA (491 nucleotides) under uncultured bacterium. RNAcentral describes it as "partial 16S ribosomal RNA". It matches the Rfam family "Bacterial small subunit ribosomal RNA", at positions 29 to 507 of the family's 1533-position model. The record is from RNAcentral.